UAAUACGUAGGGUGCGAGCGUUGUCCGGAAUUAUUGGGCGUAAAGGGCUCGUAGGCGGUUUGUCGCGUCGGGAGUGUAAUCCUCGUGCUUAACACGGGGCUUGCUUUCGAUACGGGCAGACUGGAGGCAUGCAGGGGAGAACGGAAUUCCUGGUGUAGCGGUGAAAUGCGCAGAUAUCAGGAGGAACACCGGUGGCGAAGGCGGUUCUCUGGGCAUGUCCUGACGCUGAGGAGCGAAAGUGUGGGGAGCGAACAGG
This 256-nucleotide ribosomal RNA is filed under the name uncultured bacterium. RNAcentral's name for it is "partial 16S ribosomal RNA". It matches the Rfam family "Bacterial small subunit ribosomal RNA", at positions 521 to 776 of the family's 1533-position model. The record is from RNAcentral.